UACGUAGGGUGCAAGCGUUGUCCGGCAUUAUUGGGCGUAAAGAGCUCGUAGGCGGUUUGUCGCGUCGGCUGUGAAAUCCCGAGGCUCAACCUCGGGCCUGCAGUCGAUACGGGCAAACUAGAGUGUGGUAGGGGAGAUUGGAAUUCCAGGUGUAGCGGUGAAAUGCGUAGAUAUCUGGAGGAACACCGGUGGCGAAGGCGGCAUCCUGGACCGAUACUGACGCUGAGGCACGAAAGCGUGGGGAGCAAACAGG
This 253-nucleotide ribosomal RNA is filed under the name uncultured bacterium. RNAcentral describes it as "partial 16S ribosomal RNA". It matches the Rfam family "Bacterial small subunit ribosomal RNA", at positions 524 to 776 of the family's 1533-position model. The record is from RNAcentral.